This 478-nucleotide ribosomal RNA is filed under the name uncultured bacterium. RNAcentral's name for it is "bacterial SSU rRNA". It matches the Rfam family "Bacterial small subunit ribosomal RNA", at positions 28 to 507 of the family's 1533-position model. The record is from RNAcentral.
GAUGAACGCUAGCGGCAGGCCUAAUACAUGCAAGUCGAACGGUAAGGCCCUUUCGGGGGUACACGAGUGGCGGACGGGUGAGUAAUGCGUGGGAAUCUACCCUAGAGCGGGGGACAACCCGGGGAAACUCGGGCUAAUACCGCAUACGUCCUACGGGAGAAAGGGGGCCUCUGAAUGUAAGCUCCCACUCCAGGAUGAGCCCACGUCCGAUUAGCUAGUUGGUAGGGUAAAGGCCUACCAAGGCCACGAUCGGUAGCUGGUCUGAGAGGAUGGCCAGCCACACUGGGACUGAGACACGGCCCAGACUCCUACGGGAGGCAGCAGUGGGGAAUAUUGGACAAUGGGGGGAACCCUGAUCCAGCCAUGCCGCGUGAGGGAAGAAGGUCCUCUGGAUUGUAAACCUCCUUUGGCAGGAAACAAACCUGCGCUAUACGCGCAGCUGAGGGUACCUGCAGAAUAAGCACCGGCUAACUCCGUG